GGAAGGUCACCUUGUUUUCUUGAGGUUCUCCGUUUCAGUCCUCAUUGACUGAGUCGCACGUACCUAAAUGCAGUGAAGAACUUUGAUUUGCGAGCAGUAUAGGCAGAGAUCAUACGAAACAAGGACAUACAGAUCAAGAUGUUUAGACAGAGCGAGGCAUACAAAGAUACAGCUGCACUUGAGGUUGUUGAAGUUGGGCGCUUUUGGGCUUACAAAACAGAUGGGGAGAGCUUCCUUACUUCAAGCAAAUUGAUGAUCAAAAUUAAUCAGUUGAAGUUGACAGCACUGACCUUGGAGCCAUGUCCUGACACUCACAGAUUGCAGUGAAACCCAUUAUUGCAGAGCUAAAGUCUUGCAGAUCUCUGGUGAUUCUGUUGAGAUGACAAUUAAUAUUUUGAACCAAUGUGUCUUUUUCUUUCUCUUUGCCCGUGCAAUUAUUGAUUUAAUAGCGUCACAUCUGUAGAUAUUAGCUCUGCUUAGAUGGUAUCACUCUCUCUCCCUGCUGCCAGAAAGUUGUGGGUUCAGUCCACUCUGAAUUUGACACGCAGCCUUCGCUUACAUUAAAUGUGAUGAAUGCGUUUGCAAUGCUUACCUUCGUUGGUCAGUGCAAUGAGUAUGGGAGUUGGGACAUCAUGUUCCAGCUGGACAGAACAUUAGUAAGGCCACUUUUGGAAUACUGUAUUCAAUUCUGAACUCCUUGCUAUAGAAAAGAUGAAACUUGAAAGGGUUCAGAAAAAUUUACAGGAUGUUGCCAGGAUUGGAGGGUUUGAGCUAUAGGGAGAGAUUGAAUAGCUGGGACAUUUUUCCCUCGACCAUUAGAUGCUGACAGGUGACCUUAUAGAGGUUUAUAAAAUCAUUUGGGACAUGGAUAGGGUGAAUAGCCAAGGUCUUUUUCCUGGGAUAGGGGAGUCCAAAACUAGAGUUUAAUGUGGUAGAUUUAAUGUGAGAAAGGAAAGAUUUAAAAGCAAACUGAGGGGCAACUUUUUCACAAAGAAGGUGGUCAAUGUGUGGAAUGUGACUCGUUAACUGGACAAUGGCAAAAUAAAAUCCAUCACAUUUACACCUUGCUUCAUUUCCAAAGACCUAAACUCAAAUCGUUAACUCUGCUUUCUUCUAGCAACACUGAAUCUACCUACAUCACCUAGACGGCAUUGGUUCAAGAAGACAGCUCACCACCACCUUCUGAAGUGCAAUUAGGGAUGGAUAAUAAAUGCUGGACAGCCAGCAUCACCCAUGUCCUAUGAGUGAAUUUUCAAAAAUCAUAACUCCAUAAGAAAUAGCAGCAGAAGUAGACCAUUCUGUCAGUUGA
Long non-coding RNA from Stegostoma tigrinum, 1309 nucleotides. RefSeq lists it as uncharacterized. The transcript is spliced from 3 exons. The record is from RefSeq and is a predicted model, not a curated record. Lineage: Eukaryota; Metazoa; Chordata; Chondrichthyes; Orectolobiformes; Stegostomatidae.